Molecule: ribosomal RNA, 497 nt
Filed under: uncultured bacterium
Lineage: Bacteria
Description: partial 16S ribosomal RNA
Rfam family: Bacterial small subunit ribosomal RNA
Source: RNAcentral
GAUGAACGCUGGCGGCGUGCCUAAUACAUGCAAGUCGAGCGAACAGACGAUGAGCUUGCGCCUCUGACGUUAGCGGCGGACGGGUGAGUAACACGUGGAUAACCUACCUAUAAUACGGGGAUAACUUCGGGAAACCGGAGCCAAUAACGGCUAAUACAAUGAACCGCAUGGUGCAAUAGUUAAAGGCGGUUUUGCUGUCUGUUAGAGAUGGAUCCGGGUCGCAUUAGCUAGUUGGUAAGGUAACGGCUUACCAAGGCAACGAUCCGUAGCCGACCUGAGAGGAUGAUCAGCCACACUGGAACUGAGACACGGUCCAGACUCCUACGGGAGGCAGCAGUAGGGAAUCUUCCGCAAAGGGCGAAAGCCUGACGCAGCCACGCCGCGUGGGUGAUGAAGGUCUUCGGGUCGUAAAACUCUGUUAUUAGGGAAGAACAACUGUGUAAGUAACUCUGCACGUCUUGACGGUACCUAAUCAGAAAGCCCCGGCUAACUACGUG